Molecule: non-coding RNA, 69 nt
Organism: Rattus norvegicus (Norway rat)
Lineage: Eukaryota; Metazoa; Chordata; Mammalia; Rodentia; Muridae
Source: Rfam
GGGGAUUUGGCUCAGUGGUAGAGCGCUUGCCUAGCAAGCACAAGGCCCUGGGUUCGGUCCCCAGCUCCA